This is a non-coding RNA of Drosophila virilis, 3052 nucleotides long. The record is from RefSeq and is a predicted model, not a curated record. Lineage: Eukaryota; Metazoa; Arthropoda; Insecta; Diptera; Drosophilidae.
GCUACUUCUAAACAUCUGCAACGUAUACUCAGUAUAAGACAUUCUACUUAUAAAACUAACCAACACCUCCCCCCCCCCUCACACAUACACACACACACACACGCACUCACAGCGCAACAGCUCAUUCAUACGCCGGUCAGCUGUCGCGUGCCUUGGCGCGCUCUCGCUGGGAGCUUUCGUACGGUGAAAGCUCUCAGCAUAUGCAGAGGCGUAGCUGAAACUUUGGCCAGCCAUGUGUAGCUUGGGUGGGGCGACAUGGUACGCCACUGGCGCAGCAUAAGUAUUGUAGAGCAGCACGUUUCCAUAUGAUUUUCAGUUUUGUUUGUGUCUGUGUCCACGGCAGACCGCAGCAGUAGCAACAAUAUUUUAUAAUCGUAUUUAUGUGUGUUUAAAGUGCAGUGAAUUAAUAAUAUUAAUAUUAUCAUAAUCAAUAGUAAUAAAAUAAACGAAAAACAAUUAUUUUCGUUGUGGACGAUCUACGUAUAUAGAACGCUAUGAGCAAAUCGCAUCGGGAUCACAAAAUCGUUAUCAUCGGCGCCGGAGCGUCGGGUGUUGCCUGCGCCACCAAGCUCCUGGAAUAUGGCUUCCAGAAUGUGCUGAUCGUUGAGGCCGAGUCGCGUCUGGGCGGUCGCAUACAUACGAUACCCUUUGGCGAGAAUGUGAUCGAUCUGGGCGCCCAAUGGUGCCACGGCGAGCAGGAUAACAUUGUCUACGAGCUGGCCAGCCAGCACGAUCUGCUCGAGUCCACGGGACCCGUCUACGAGAACUAUCAGUGUGUGCGCAGCAAUCGCGAAGUCUUGCCGGACAACGUCGCCAGCCGGCUGAAGGCGAUUGUGGGUGACUCGCUGGUCACACGGCAGCUGGAGCUGCAGCACUGCAGCGGCUCGCUGGGCAGCUAUCUGUCGAGCAAGUUCUACGAGAUGCUGCGCCGGCCGGAGAAUGCCGACAUUGAUCCGGUCGUUGCGGGCGAGUUCUUUGAUAAUUAUCAGAAAUUCGAGAACUCUGUGGAGGCAUCCGACACCCUGGAGGAGGUGUCGGGGCGCGGAUAUCUAGACUAUUGGGAGUGCGAGGGCGACAUUCUGCUUAACUGGAAGGACAAGGGCUUUGUCGAGCUGUUGCGUCUGCUAACGCGCAGUCGCGAGCUGCAGACGAGCUCGGAUCUGGGCAUCCUCGAGCAGCGGGUGCUCUUCAAUCGGCGCGUCACCAAAAUCAAUUGGAAUCGCAAUGAUGCUCGGGUCGAGCUGCAGCUGAACAACGGUGAAUCCUGCGUGGCAGAUCAUGUUAUAGUCACCGUUUCGCUGGGCGUCCUUAAGGAGCAGCAUUUGCAGCUGUUUGAGCCGCAGCUGCCGGUGGCCAAGCAACGUGCUAUCCAGGGAUUGGCCUUUGGCACCGUCAACAAGCUGUUUGUUGAGUUUCCGGCGGCCUUUUGGCCCGAGGAUUGGACGGGCUUUACGCUGUUGUGGCGUCAGCAGGAUCUGGCCGAUAUACGCAAUACGCCGCUUGCCUGGCUGGAGGAUGUCUUUGGCUUCUAUCGCGUCAGCUAUCAGCCACGCGUCCUCGCCGGCUGGAUCAUAAAUGCCAAUGGCCGGCACAUGGAGUCACUGCAGCCGGCUGAGGUACUUGCCGGCUGCAUGUAUCUCUUCCGGCGCUUUCUACACUGGCACAUACCAGAGCCGCUCGGCUUUCGCAGCUCCGCCUGGUACACAAAUCCGUAUUUCCGUGGCUCCUAUUCCUUUCGCUCCAUGGACACGGAACGCCUGGGCACCGGCGCCAGCGAUCUGGCCCAGCCAUUGACGGUGGUUGCCAUGACGCCGCCUUCGCCGGGACGCAGCAAAAUGCUGGUGCCGCCGCAGAGCCGCUGUGACAAGCCAAUUGUCCAAUUCGCCGGCGAGGCCAGCAGCGAACAUUACUACUCAACGGUCCACGGUGCCGUGGAGGCCGGUUGGCGCGAGGCCAAGCGAUUGGCGGACUUUUAUGGCCUCAGCGUGGCGCCGGCCAAGUCGCAGCUAUAACAUCAGGAGUCGGCGCGAGCCUAUUUUGUAAGUAAUUGUGCAAUGGAUUAUGGAUAAAAUGAAAAAAAAAAAAAAUGACAAAAAAGCUCAGGUCUUCCUAGGAUCUGCUUACAAUCAAUCAAUCAAUAAAUCAAUUAAUCCUGAGUAGAAAUACAACUAUAUAGAAUAGAAUGCUAAUUUGUCCUGUUUACCAUACAUAAAUCUAAUGUCCAUCUAAAUUCGAAACAUUUUGACAGACCUUCUGUCUUCUUAGGUCCUGCUGACAAUCAAUCAAUCAAUCAAUCAUGAUUAUGUAUAGCAUAGACUGCUACUUUGUGCUAUAAAUCCUAUAUCCAUGUAACUACGAAACCUUUUGUUCUAACUGAACCCCUGAUUGACUGACUGAUUGACUAGUUGGCUGAUUGACUGAUUUAUUAAUUGGAGAUCAACGCAAAGCGCAGGCUAUAAAGCUUCAUUUUUCAAGUUAAGUUACAAUUUAAGUUCAGAAUAGCUAAAAAUGGAUUCACAAUAUAUACUGACUGAUUGACUGACUGGCUAGCUGUCUGAUUGAUUAAUUUACUGAUUGGCGAUCAACGCAGCACUAUGAAGCUACUUUUUGCACAGAAGUUACAUUUAACGUUGAAAUGAAGUAUAAAUUGACAGUACAACGACAAAGAAAACUGUGCUGACUGACUGAUUGAGUGAUUGAGGCCCAUAUAAAUAUAAAUACGAGCUCUUUGCCCGACAUGGCAAUUAAAUGUGAUUAUCCAUAUAAAUGUAUAUACACAUAUGUAUAUAUGUAUAUAUAUAAGCUGUUUGUUCUGACUGAUUGAUUGAUUGUCUCUCUGUCUGUCUGACUGAUUGAUGAGCUGCAUUUUCACUUCUUUAUGUGGUAUAAUAGAGUGAAAAAUAAGUGGAAAACGAUUGCAAGGUUUUAUGUUUUCGUCCGAUUGGCACUGAUUUUGGAUAUUUUAAUGGUUGGCUAUUUUUGUUUUUCAUCUGAUUGAAUUGAAUUAAAUUUAUACGCAAAGAUCUAUAUCCUUUGAGACGUUUUUCUAUAA